AUUGAACGCUGGCGGCAUGCUUUACACAUGCAAGUCGAACGGUAACAGGCCGCAAGGUGCUGACGAGUGGCGAACGGGUGAGUAAUGCAUCGGAACGUGCCCAGUCGUGGGGGAUAACUACUCGAAAGAGUAGCUAAUACCGCAUACGACCUAAGGAUGAAAGCGGGGGACCGUAAGGCCUCGCGCGAUUGGAGCGGCCGCUGUCAGAUUAGGUAGUUGGUGGGGUAAAGGCUCACCAAGCCAACGAUCUGUAGCUGGUCUGAGAGGACGACCAGCCACACUGGGACUGAGACACGGCCCAGACUCCUACGGGAGGCAGCAGUGGGGAAUUUUGGACAAUGGGCGCAAGCCUGAUCCAGCAAUGCCGCGUGCAGGAAGAAGGCCUUCGGGUUGUAAACUGCUUUUGUACGGAACGAAACGGCUCUGGUUAAUACCCGGGGCUAAUGACGGUACCGUAAGAAUAAGCACCGGCUAACUACGUG
Molecule: ribosomal RNA, 482 nt
Filed under: uncultured bacterium
Lineage: Bacteria
Description: partial 16S ribosomal RNA
Rfam family: Bacterial small subunit ribosomal RNA
Source: RNAcentral